AGAUCAGCCCUGGGGUUCAGAGGGAUCCUGACAGCUACUCCUCAAGAUCCUCUCUGUUGUGAUUCAUCCCCCCGGGGCCCUACAGUUUCUCCUUCCUGACUCUUACAUUUCUUUGGAUGGCAUCAUUAUUUACCUGUCUCCUCCCAUAGUUAGGUGCCAAGCACUGUGGAUUCUGCCUCUCAGUGUCCAGACACCCAUUUUCCUUCCCACUGUUCCUUCCCCAUGGAGAAGCCUGUGGCUGGCUGACAGCAGAGAGAGAUGCUCAACUUGGAGAAGGUGUUACCUGGGCCAGCCUAUUCAACGUGAAAAAGAUGAGGAUGAAGACCUUUAUUAUGAUCCACUUCCAAGUAAUGAACACACUGGAGAAAGUCAGACAGUCAAAACAAUGUCCCAGACUCCGUGAAGUUCCUGGGUAGAGAAGGAGACAGACAUAUACCAUACCUAAUAAUUGGAUGUCCGAGAGAAUGAGAGAAUGGCAGAAAGAACUUUAGAGCAUGGGUAUGAUGGCUAGAGCUUGAGCAGCCAUUGUGGACAUCAGAUGAACUUGAAAGUGAAAACUAUGAGCUGAAUACGACAAAGCAAACAGAUAGAAAACUGGAUUCAUUAUGACAUUGCAAAGCUGCCAGACCAGCUCUAGUCUGCUUCCCCCUAAUCUUCCUUACUAAGAGAGAGAAAUAAACUUCCAU
Homo sapiens (human) is the source of this 686-nucleotide long non-coding RNA. Ensembl annotates it as MYO3B antisense RNA 1. Its record names the gene MYO3B-AS1. NCBI's taxonomy places the organism in Eukaryota, Metazoa, Chordata, Mammalia, Primates, Hominidae. The record is from Ensembl.